UUUCGAAAGAAAGACUUUACCGGAUGGCAUACGAAUAUCGCAUGAUAUUUUUAUUAAAGAAUUUCGGUUAUCGAUGGGGAUGCGUUCCAUUAGUUUGUUGGCGGGGUAACGGCCCACCAAGACUACGAUGGAUAGGGGUUCUGAGAGGAAGGUCCCCCACAUUGGAACUGAGACACGGUCCAAACUCCUACGGGAGGCAGCAGUGAGGAAUAUUGGUCAAUGGGCGCGAGCCUGAACCAGCCAAGUAGCGUGAAGGAUGAAGGCUCUAUGGGUCGUAAACUUCUUUUAUAUGGGAAUAAAGUAUUCCACGUGUGGGAUUUUGUAUGUACCAUAUGAAUAAGGAUCGGCUAACUCCGUGCCAGCAGCCGCGGUAAUACGGAGGAUCCGAGCGUUAUCCGGAUUUAUUGGGUUUAAAGGGAGCGUAGGUGGAUUGUUAAGUCAGUUGUGAAAGUUUGCGGCUCAACCGUAAAAUUGCAGUUGAAACUGGGAGUCUUGAGUACAGUAGAGGUGGGCGGAAUUCGUGGUGUAGCGGUGAAAUGCUUAGAUAUCACGAAGAACUCCGAUUG
RNAcentral lists this ribosomal RNA (566 nucleotides) under uncultured Bacteroides sp. RNAcentral's name for it is "bacterial SSU rRNA". It matches the Rfam family "Bacterial small subunit ribosomal RNA", at positions 149 to 715 of the family's 1533-position model. Lineage: Bacteria; Pseudomonadati; Bacteroidota; Bacteroidia; Bacteroidales; Bacteroidaceae. The record is from RNAcentral.